Molecule: long non-coding RNA, 1137 nt
Organism: Olea europaea var. sylvestris
Lineage: Eukaryota; Viridiplantae; Streptophyta; Magnoliopsida; Lamiales; Oleaceae
Exons: 2
Source: RefSeq, a predicted model, not a curated record
AAGAAGCCCUAAAUGGCUAAAUCUCUCUAUUCCUUCUUUAUCUCGUACUCCUGCUUGAAGCCUCAAAUCUUCGACAGCGUCGACAGCCAUCUUCAUUUUUCAAUUCCCCAAGCCGGUCAUCGGAUGUCCGGUGCUAAAAAACCCACAACCACAAGCCAGGUAUAUUAUUUCUCUAGUCAUUGACUCAUUGUUCUGCUCUUGUUUAUCUUCCAUGUUUACUUCCACGCCAGCACUACUUAAUGCAUUUCUAAUGCAGUCUUACUUCAAAGUUUUUGUAGAAAAAUUUCACAUAAUAUCUCUUCGGGAGCUUAAAAUUUAUCCACGGCCCUAAUUUCUAAAUGUUUGUCCAAUAAACUUUCGGUAAUUUGCUAGAAAAUUAACGGAUCUCAGUUGAUUGAUAAAAUAUCUGAGAGCUGGUUCAGUAUAUAAGAUUCAUCGAUGUUACUAGGAUUUUUACAUGGUUUUCUGAUUGCUGGUUGGAAAUGCAAUUUGACGAAAUUUUUAGGGUUGAAAAUUGAAACACAGAAAUUGGAGAAUAUGUUGGUAUAUUGAUACGUGUCUUGCAGUGGUUGAUUGUAACCUUUUGAAGAACAUUCUGCUAUUCCUUGGAAUCAAAUUUUGGCUGUGGCGCCGGUUAGCUUUAUCCCUUACAAUCAACUUUAGGCUUUAUUCACUAAUGUUUCCUUUUUGUGUUGGUAUUAAUGCAAGUGGAAAUAUAUGUUGUUGUUGUUUGAUAUUUGGAAAUUGGAGUCAGAAGAUAACUUGCAGUCGCAGACUGCACCAUCCUUAAGCAAAUGUAUUCAGGGUCUUCAUCUUCUGUUGUGAAUAUUAAAGACCUUGAAUUGACUAAAAUUCUCAAGGCUGCUUACAAUGCUAUUUUCCUUCUCUUGAUGUGUCUUAUUUUGAAUCCAAUUCAGCUAUUCUUCUUCUGCAGCCUCCAACAGUUUCUAACAACAGGUUUUAAUGUUUUUUGCACAACUUGAGGUUUGCCAACAGAUUUUUGCCUCAGUUUUGUAAAUUUGUAAUUAAAUAUGUAAUUGGUAUUGGAUAAUUAUUUUGAUGCAUAUUUGGUGGACUAUACUAUUGUAUAUUUGAAAUUUUUCUAAUAUUGGAAGACUAUAUUAAUGUUGCUUUAAA